RNAcentral lists this transfer RNA (71 nucleotides) under Nematostella vectensis (starlet sea anemone). It matches the Rfam family "tRNA". From Rfam's summary of the family: Transfer RNA (tRNA) molecules are approximately 80 nucleotides in length. Their secondary structure includes four short double-helical elements and three loops (D, anti-codon, and T loops). The record is from Rfam by way of RNAcentral. Lineage: Eukaryota; Metazoa; Cnidaria; Anthozoa; Actiniaria; Edwardsiidae.
AGCAGAGUGGCGCAGUGGAAGCGUGCUGGGCCCAUAACCCAGAGUCCGAGGAUCGAAACCCUGCUCUGCUA